GAUGAACGCUAGCGGCAGGCUUAAUACAUGCAAGUCAAGGGGUAGCAAUACAACCGGCGCACGGGUGAGUAACGCGUACACAACAUACCAUAUACUGGAGUAUAGCUUUGGGAAACUGAAGGUAAUCCUCCAUAACAUUGCGAGAGGGCAUCUGAUUGCAAUUAAAGUUUCGGCGGUAUAUGAUUGGUGUGCGUUUGAUUAGCUAGUUGGUAGGGUAACGGCCUACCAAGGCGACGAUCAAUAGCUGGCGUGAGAGCGCGACCAGCCACACUGGAACUGAGACACGGUCCAGACUCCUACGGGAGGCAGCAGUAGGGAAUAUUGGACAAUGGAGGAAACUCUGAUCCAGCCAUGCCGCGUGAUAGAUGAAGGCCCUCUGGGUUGUAAAUAUCUUUUAUCUGGGAAGAAACACUCCUAUUCUUAGGACUUAGACGGUACCAGAGGAAUAAGCACCGGCUAACUCCGUGCCAGCAG
RNAcentral lists this ribosomal RNA (474 nucleotides) under uncultured bacterium. Its description in RNAcentral is "bacterial SSU rRNA". It matches the Rfam family "Bacterial small subunit ribosomal RNA", at positions 28 to 514 of the family's 1533-position model. The record is from RNAcentral.